Molecule: unclassified non-coding RNA, 20 nt
Filed under: Mus musculus (house mouse)
Lineage: Eukaryota; Metazoa; Chordata; Mammalia; Rodentia; Muridae
Description: oocyte_clustered_small_RNA5468
Source: RNAcentral
UAAGCGAGUCAUGUGGGCUG